UUGUGACCCGGUCCUUGAAACACGGACCAAGGAGUCUAGCAUGUGCGCGAGUCAUUGGGACAUUACUAAACCUAAAGGCGCAAUGAAAGUAAAGGUCCGCCUUGCGCGGACCGAGGGAGGAUGGGCGGUCGUUACGGCUGCCGCCUCGCACUCCCGGGGCGUCUCGUUCUCAUUGCGAGAAGAGGCGCACCAAGAGCGUACACGCUGGGACCCGAAAGAUGGUGAACUAUGCCUGGUCAGGACGAAGUCAGGGGAAACCCUGAUGGAGGUCCGUAGCGAUUCUGACGUGCAAAUCGAUCGUCGGAACUGGGUAUAGGGGCGAAAGACUAAUCGAACCAUCUAGUAGCUGGUUCCCUCCGAAGUUUCCCUCAGGAUAGCUGGCGCUCGUAGCGCACGAGUUUCAUCCGGUAAAGCGAAUGAUUAGAGGCAUUGGGGUCGAAACGGCCUCAACCUAUUCUCAAACUUUAAAUGGGUGAGAUCUCCGGCUUGCUCGAACUAUUGAAGCCGCGAGACUCGAAUCAGAGUGCCAAGUGGGCCAUUUUUGGUAAGCAGAACUGGCGCUGUGGGAUGAACCAAACGCCGAGUUAAAGCGCCUAAAUCGACGCUUAUGGGAUACCAUGAAAGGCGUUGGUAACUUAAGACAUCAGGACGGUGGCCAUGGAAGUCGGAAUCCGCUAAGGAGUGUGUAAAA
This 691-nucleotide ribosomal RNA is filed under the name Tenebrionidae sp. NLG-2013. Its description in RNAcentral is "eukaryotic LSU rRNA". It matches the Rfam family "Eukaryotic large subunit ribosomal RNA", at positions 642 to 1287 of the family's 3401-position model. The record is from RNAcentral. Lineage: Eukaryota; Metazoa; Arthropoda; Insecta; Coleoptera; Tenebrionidae.